ACGUAGGGUGCGAGCGUUGUUCGGAAUUACUGGGCGUAAAGCGCUUGUAGGUGGCUCUGCAAGUCAGAUGUGAAAGCCUGGGGCUUAACCCCAGAAGUGCAUCUGAAACUGCAGAGCUUGAGUAUGGGAGAGGGUGACGGAAUUCCUGGUGUAGUGGUGAAAUACGUAGAUAUCAGGAGGAACAUCGGUGGCGAAGGCGGUUGUCUGGCCCAAUACUGACACUGAGAAGCGAAAGCGUGGGGAUCAAACAGGA
RNAcentral lists this ribosomal RNA (253 nucleotides) under uncultured prokaryote. Its description in RNAcentral is "partial 16S ribosomal RNA". It matches the Rfam family "Bacterial small subunit ribosomal RNA", at positions 525 to 777 of the family's 1533-position model. The record is from RNAcentral.